This is a long non-coding RNA of Chelonia mydas (Green sea turtle), 1247 nucleotides long. RefSeq lists it as uncharacterized. NCBI's taxonomy places the organism in Eukaryota, Metazoa, Chordata, Testudines, Cheloniidae. The transcript is spliced from 3 exons. The record is from RefSeq and is a predicted model, not a curated record.
CCAUCAACAGCUGUGGUGAGAGCAGAAGGAGAUGGCUAGGGAGUCUGCUGUGGACCCUGUAACAGCAAACUGGCAAAAAGUAGCUCAAAGAAUUGAAACGUCUAAGUACAAAAUAAUGGAAUGAGUUUUUCUGGGAAAGGGCUGGGAGUUGAAGAAUUUGCUACUGGACUGGGGAUAUUAAUACUCUACAUUUACCAAAGAAGAAGAAGUAUUCAGUCAAUGGGUGCUUCAGGUGCUAAGAACCUCUGACAAUCAGGCCCAGUGGAUAGGACUGUAUCCAUCUCAAUCCAUCUCCAUCUCCUGAAAGGGGAGCUGGAAUAAUUUUCAUAGUGGCAGGGGGCUGAUGAUGGGAACCAUAUAUCUGGUGUUUGUUAUUACUACUUCAAGCCAGGAGGUGUGGCAGCACGCCUAGUUCCAGCACCACUGUCCCCAAUAAUGUCAGGAAAAAACUCUUCUGCUGCAGGAGAAAGAUGCACAAAAAAUUUAAAACCCAAAUAUGUAUGCUUCAUUCAUUUUUUUUUUUCCUGGGAAAAAAAAUAUUGCAAAACACUUAAUUAAAACCAAUCUUUAGGGUACUGAACUGUUUCCACUGGAAAACCACCUCAACUGACUUCUCCUGACUUGGAGAAAUUAAUUGAAAACAAUUAUGUUUUAGAAAUGUUAUGCUUUCUGAUUUAAUCAGUCACUGUCUGAUGAUGAUGAUUUAUCUUUGGCAUGAAACCAGGUUUUUAUAUAAUACGUAUUUCAAGCUGUUUCAAUUGUUUACAGGUUUUGUUUUUUUGGUAUGGGGGGCAACAUACAGAGCAUUGUUGAUGAGGGAGGCUGGCACUUUAUAAGUGGAAAUAUCUAAUGUUUGCAUUUCAGACAGUGAACUGAUUCCCUUUUAAGAAAAAAACAACACAAAACACUUUUGUGUAUAUACACAUCAUAAUUAAUUUAUUUUAGUGGUCCAGUAAAUGCACUUCAUAUUAUCCAAUAAAAGUUGAUGUUUUAGAGUUACAUAUACUGUAAGAGGGUGAAAAGGAACUUUUUUUUUGACCUGGCAAAGGUAUGUGAAGCAUAUUUAGUUUUGGUUUGGAAAAAAAAAUGGUACAGUAUCUCCUCACUCAACAUUGUAGUUGUGUUCCUGAAAAAUCCGACUUAAGCGAAAUAAUGUUAAGAGAAUCCAAUUUCCCCAUACGAAUUAAUGUAAAUAGAGGGGGUUAGGGUCCAGGGACUUUUUUUUACCAGACAAAAGACAUAUAUAU